GAUGAAGAACGUAGCGAAAUGCGAUAACUAGUGUGAAUUGCAGAAUUCCGUGAAUCAUCGAGUCUUUGAACGCACAUUGCGCCCCCUGGUAUUCCGGGGGGCAUGCCUGUCCGAGCGUCAUUGCUGCCCAUCAAGCACGGCUUGUGUGUUGGGUCGUCGUCCCCUCUCCGGGGGGGACGGGCCCCAAAGGCAGCGGCGGCACCGCGUCCGAUCCUCGAGCGUAUGGGGCUUUGUCACCCGCUCUGUAGGCCCGGCCGGCGCUUGCCGAACGCAAAUCAAUCUUUUCCAGGUUGACCUCGGAUCAGGUAGGGAUACCCGCUGAACUUAAGCAUAUCAAUAAGCGGAGGA
Molecule: unclassified non-coding RNA, 348 nt
Filed under: soil metagenome
Description: partial contains 5.8S ribosomal RNA, internal transcribed spacer 2, and large subunit ribosomal RNA
Rfam family: 5.8S ribosomal RNA (bases 1-120)
Source: RNAcentral